Molecule: ribosomal RNA, 495 nt
Filed under: uncultured Desulfobulbus sp.
Lineage: Bacteria; Pseudomonadati; Thermodesulfobacteriota; Desulfobulbia; Desulfobulbales; Desulfobulbaceae
Description: bacterial SSU rRNA
Rfam family: Bacterial small subunit ribosomal RNA
Source: RNAcentral
AGCCGCUCAGAACUUAAGGAAUGACGGGGCCGCACAAGCGGUGGAGUAUGUGGUUUAAUUCGAUGCAACGCGAAGAACUUACCUGGUCUUGACAUCCCGGAGACCCUUAGGAAACUAGGGGGUGCUUCCAUCUGGAAGAAUCUGGAGACAGGUGCUGCAUGGCUGUCGUCAGCUCGUGUCGUGAGAUGUUGGGUUAAGUCCCGCAACGAGCGCAACCCUUGCCUUUAGUUGCCAGCAGUUCGGCUGGGCACUCUAAAGGGACUGCCGGUGUUAAACCGGAGGAAGGUGGGGAUGACGUCAAGUCCUCAUGGCCUUUAUGACCAGGGCUACACACGUACUACAAUGGCCGAUACAAAGGGCAGCGACACUGCGAGGUGAAGCCAAUCCCGUAAAAUCGGUCUCAGUCCGGAUUGGAGUCUGCAACUCGACUCCAUGAAGUUGGAAUCGCUAGUAAUCGUGGAUCAGCAUGCCACGGUGAAUACGUUCCCGGGCCUU